Molecule: ribosomal RNA, 406 nt
Filed under: uncultured bacterium
Lineage: Bacteria
Description: partial 16S ribosomal RNA
Rfam family: Bacterial small subunit ribosomal RNA
Source: RNAcentral
AUUGAACGCUGGCGGCAGGCCUAACACAUGCAAGUCGGGCGAGAGGCGGACGGGUGAGUAAUGUAUGUGGAUCUGCCUGAUGGCGGGGGAUAACUAAUGGAAACGGUAGCUAAUACCGCCUACCAUCAGAUGAACCCAUAUGGGCAUAGCUCGUAGGUAAGGUAACGGCUGACCUAGGCGACGAUCACUAGCUGGUCUGAGAGGAUGAUAAGCUACACUGGGAUUGAGAUACGGCCCAGACUCCUCUGGGAGGCAGAAGUGGGGAAUAUUGCACAAUGGGCGCAAGCCUGAUGCAGCCAUGCCGCGUGUAUUAAGAAGGCCUUCGGGUUGUAAAGUACUUUCAGUCGGGAGGCGUUACCGACAGAAGAAGCACCGGCUAACUCCGUGCCAGCAGCCGCGGUAAUAC